CAAGAGAAAAGUGUGAAAAUUCAAGGAAACAAGUGAAAAAAGGUGGUGAAUCCUCCGAUAAGGGCAAAGAAAUUGUACUUGAGGGUCGAUAGUCGGAGUACUCUAAAAAUUCGACUCCCGAAAUAGCUCAGAAUAGGCUGUAGAUAGCUGAUAUCGUCGGAGGCUA
Molecule: non-coding RNA, 166 nt
Organism: Theobroma cacao (cacao)
Lineage: Eukaryota; Viridiplantae; Streptophyta; Magnoliopsida; Malvales; Malvaceae
Source: RefSeq, a predicted model, not a curated record